AACGAACGCUGGCGGCAUGCCUAACACAUGCAAGUCGAACGAUGCCUUCGGGCAUAGUGGCGCACGGGUGCGUAACGCGUGGGAAUCUGCCUUUCGGUUCGGAAUAACUCAGGGAAACUUGAGCUAAUACCGGAUAACGUCGCAAGACCAAAGAUUUAUCACCGAAAGAUGAGCCCGCGUAGGAUUAGCUAGUUGGUGAGGUAAAGGCUCACCAAGGCGACGACCCUUAGCUGGUCUGAGAGGAUGAUCAGCCACACUGGGACUGAGACACGGCCCAGACUCCUACGGGAGGCAGCAGUGGGGAAUAUUGGACAAUGGGCGAAAGCCUGAUCCAGCAAUGCCGCGUGAGUGAUGAAGGCCUUAGGGUUGUAAAGCUCUUUUACCCGGGAAGAUAAUGACGGUACCGGGAGAAUAAGCCCCGGCUAACUCCGUG
Molecule: ribosomal RNA, 433 nt
Filed under: uncultured bacterium
Lineage: Bacteria
Description: partial 16S ribosomal RNA
Rfam family: Bacterial small subunit ribosomal RNA
Source: RNAcentral